UACGAAGGGGGCUAGCGUUGCUCGGAUUCAUUGGGCGUAAAGGGUGCGUAGGCGGCGCGGUAAGUCGGGUGUGAAAUCUUGGAGCUUAACUCCGAAACUGCAUUCGAUACUGCCGUGCUUGAGGACUGGAGAGGAGACUGGAAUUUACGGUGUAGCGGUGAAAUGCGUAGAUAUCGUAAGGAAGACCAGCGGCGAAGGCGGGUCUCUGGACAGUUCCUGACGCUGAGGCACGAAGGCCAGGGGAGCAAACAGG
Molecule: ribosomal RNA, 253 nt
Filed under: uncultured bacterium
Lineage: Bacteria
Description: partial 16S ribosomal RNA
Rfam family: Bacterial small subunit ribosomal RNA
Source: RNAcentral